Molecule: ribosomal RNA, 728 nt
Filed under: uncultured Verrucomicrobiota bacterium
Lineage: Bacteria; Pseudomonadati; Verrucomicrobiota
Description: bacterial SSU rRNA
Rfam family: Bacterial small subunit ribosomal RNA
Source: RNAcentral
GUCGAACGCUGAUAUUCAGGUAGCAAUAUUUGGAUGUCGGAGUGGCGCAAGGGUGCGUAACACGUGGGUAAUUUGCCGUAAAGUCUGGGACAACUUGCUGAAAGGCGAGCUAAUACCGGAUGUGAAUUUUCGAGGGCAUCUUUGGAAAUUCAAAGUUGGGGACCGCAAGGCCUGACGCUUUACGAUAAGCCCGCGGCCUAUCAGCUAGUUGGUGAGGUAACGGCUCACCAAGGCUAAGACGGGUAGCUGGUCUGAGAGGACGACCAGUCACACUGGAACUGAGACACGGUCCAGACACCUACGGGUGGCAGCAGUCGAGAAUUUUUCUCAAUGGGCGAAAGCCUGAAGGAGCGACGCCGCGUGGGGGAUGAAUGGCUUCGGCCCGUAAACCCCUGUCAUUUGUGAACAAAUUGCUUCACCUAACACGUGAAGCAUUGAUUGUAACGGAAGAGGAAGGGACGGCUAACUCUGUGCCAGCAGCCGCGGUAAUACAGAGGUCCCAAGCGUUGUUCGGAUUCACUGGGCGUAAAGGGUGCGUAGGCGGUUUGACAAGUCUGAUGUGAAAUCCCGCAGCUUAACUGCGGAACUGCAUUGGAAACUGUUUGACUAGAGGAAUGGAGGGGAGACUGGAAUACUUGGUGUAGCAGUGAAAUGCGUAGAUAUCAAGUGGAACACCAGUGGCGAAGGCGAGUCUCUGGACAUUUCCUGACGCUGAGGCACGAAAGCCA